Molecule: ribosomal RNA, 466 nt
Filed under: uncultured bacterium
Lineage: Bacteria
Description: SSU rRNA
Rfam family: Bacterial small subunit ribosomal RNA
Source: RNAcentral
AGGACGAACGCUGGCGGCGUGCUUAAUACAUGCAAGUCGAACGAGGUUCACUUCGGUGGGCCUAGUGGCGAACGGGUGAGUAACACGUGAGCAACCUGCCCCGAAGACCGGGAUAACAGUGGGAAACCGCUGCUAAUACUGGAUACCCCCACCGGACCCCAUGGUCUGAUGAGGAAAUGGAUUCCGCUUCGGGAGGGGCUCGCGGCCUAUCAGCUUGUUGGUGGGUAACGCCUACCAAGGCUUCGACGGGUAGCUGGUCUGAGAGGACGAUCAGCCACACUGGGACUGAGACACGGCCCAGACUCCUACGGGAGGCAGCAGUAGGGAAUCUUGCGCAAUGGGCGAAAGCCUGACGCAGCAACGCCGCGUGAGGGAUGGAGGCCUUCGGGUUGUAAACCUCUUUCAGCAGGGACGAUUGUGACGGUACCUGCAGAAGAAGCCCCGGCAACUACGCGCCAGCAGCCGC